This is a long non-coding RNA of Salvia hispanica, 497 nucleotides long. RefSeq lists it as uncharacterized. The record is from RefSeq and is a predicted model, not a curated record. NCBI's taxonomy places the organism in Eukaryota, Viridiplantae, Streptophyta, Magnoliopsida, Lamiales, Lamiaceae.
AAAGAGAAAUUGAAGAAAGAAAUAAAGAAAAGAAAAAGGGUGUUGGAAUAGGAUCAACACAGAAACUCUCUCUUCCACCCUCUCGGUAAUCUAUCUACCGCCGUCACCAAGAUAGCUCCAGCAAAUCCACCAUGAUGCAACUAAGCCACUCUGAUAACCCCAAGUCCUAAUUUUCUUUAGCUCUUCUAAUUUCAGAAUUUGAGUAGUCAAACCCACUUCCCAAAUUGUUGAAAUUAGAGGCAAACCAGAUUCAAGUGGAAAGACAAGAUCUUGGAGGAAACGAAUAAUUUAAAAGGAGUUUUAUUGACAUGAACAGAGUAUAGUAGUGAGGAGUCUCGCUAGUUGGGCAGCUGCACGUCACUGCGCGUGUCUAGUCACUAUCUCUUUUGUCGAUAAAGUUACAGUGGUAGAAGUGGCAUGCUACUUGAGGAUUUAUAGACGUGUAUAGUUGGAUAGAUUUUUGUCGUAUCAUAUUGAUAAUUAUGUAUUAGUGUGUA